This 490-nucleotide ribosomal RNA is filed under the name uncultured bacterium. Its description in RNAcentral is "partial 16S ribosomal RNA". It matches the Rfam family "Bacterial small subunit ribosomal RNA", at positions 28 to 507 of the family's 1533-position model. The record is from RNAcentral.
GAUGAACGCUAGCGAUAGGCUUAACACAUGCAAGUCGAGGGGCAGCAUGGUCUUAGCUUGCUAAGACUGAUGGCGACCGGCGCACGGGUGCGUAACGCGUAUGCAACUUGCCUCACAGAGGGGGAUAACCCGUCGAAAGACGGACUAAUACCGCGUACACUCUAUUUUGGGCAUCCAAGGUAGAGGAAAUGAACUUCGCUGUGAGAUAGGCAUGCGUCCCAUUAGCUAGUUGGUGAGGUAACGGCUCACCAAGGCGACGAUGGGUAGGGGAACUGAGAGGUUGAACCCCCACACUGGUACUGAGACACGGACCAGACUCCUACGGGAGGCAGCAGUGAGGAAUAUUGGUCAAUGGGCGAGGGCCUGAACCAGCCAAGUCGCGUGAAGGAUGACUGUCUUAUGGAUUGUAAACUUCUUUUGUAGGGGAAUAAAGAGGGGCACGUGUGCCCCAGUGAAUGUACCCUACGAAUAAGCAUCGGCUAACUCCGUG